UUUGUUGAGCAGUCACCAGUCACAGUCAGUCAGUCCAGUCGGUACUCUGUAGGUCGUAGAGCCCGAGCGCGAUUGUGUUGUGAUAGUUGGGUUGCAGUUAUUAGCGCGGUUACACACCACGGUUGGGUGAGGCUUGUUUUGGUUAAUCGCUGUUGACUUCAACCUGCCUGUGGUCUGGCGACCUUACCCGACGACAUGGAAAACGUUCAACUAAAUUUCACAGUGGGGUCAUGAGAUUCAAGGAUUCUUUGUACUUACAGCGUCCGGUCAUCUCAAGGAUCUUGCCGGGAUGCUGCCUUCUAUUCCUUACUUACUUCCUGAAACUGCUCAUCUGUUGUCCCUCCAUGUGAAGGAGAUCUUCAGAGAUCUUCAAUCAGUGACCUGGAAGCAAGCAGCUAUUCUUCUUGCUGUAUCAGCUAUUCUUCCUUCAUUAUUUCCUGAGUGAACUGGGUAUGGAGUGGAUGGGCCAGCAGGAACUCAUGCAGCAUAGAGCUCUGCACAAUUAACAUGGCAAAAAAAACACCUAAGCAAAAAAAGAUGUUUAACCUUUUUUAGGUUAAAUUUGUACUGUUUUAUUAUUUGUUGAAUUUUUAAUUGUUUUUGUACAGUUCCUAUUUAAUUUGAUAAUACGAAAACCAUCUUGCACCAAUUGUUUCAGAUAAUCAACGCACUGCUGUAAACAGUCCUUUUACCUCUAAUCAUAAAGAUCAAUAGAACAUAGAUUUAAGCAGUAUUACAUAUUAAAUAUUUAGUAUAGAGAAAUAAGAAAAUAACAUUUAUUUCUUACACAAUUAAUCACAAUCAAUACGAAAGAGAGGGUUUUAGUUUUGAAAUAUACUACAUCAAUUAAAAAUGUAUUAUUUU
This is a long non-coding RNA of Homalodisca vitripennis (glassy-winged sharpshooter), 864 nucleotides long. RefSeq lists it as uncharacterized. NCBI's taxonomy places the organism in Eukaryota, Metazoa, Arthropoda, Insecta, Hemiptera, Cicadellidae. The transcript is spliced from 3 exons. The record is from RefSeq and is a predicted model, not a curated record.